CCUACGGGAGGCUGCAGUAGGGAAUCUUUCACAAUGGGCGAAAGCCUGAUGGAGCAACGCCGCGUGCAGGAUGAAGGCCUUCGGGUUGUAAACUGCUUUUAUAAGCGAGAAAUAUGAUGGUAACUUAUGAAUAAGGAUCGGCUAACUACGUGCCAGCAGCCGCGGUCAUACGUAGGAUCCGAGCAUUAUCCGGAGUGACUGGGUGUAAAGAGUUGCGUAGGUGGCAUAAUAAGUAGCUAGUGAAAUCUGGUGGCUCAACCAUUCAGACUAUUAGCUAAACUGUGAAGCUCGAGACCGUUAGGGGUAACUGGAAUUUCUAGUGUAGGAGUGAAAUCCGUAGAUAUUAGAAGGAACAACAAUAGCGUAGGCAGGUUGCUGGGACGGUUCUGACACUAAGGCACGAAAGCGUAGGGAGCAAACGGGAUUAGAUACCCGAGUAGUC
RNAcentral lists this ribosomal RNA (442 nucleotides) under uncultured bacterium. RNAcentral describes it as "partial 16S ribosomal RNA". It matches the Rfam family "Bacterial small subunit ribosomal RNA", at positions 338 to 795 of the family's 1533-position model. The record is from RNAcentral.